RNAcentral lists this long non-coding RNA (1504 nucleotides) under Homo sapiens (human). Its description in RNAcentral is "non-protein coding lnc-METAP1-10:1". Lineage: Eukaryota; Metazoa; Chordata; Mammalia; Primates; Hominidae. The record is from RNAcentral.
CUCAACGCGGCGGACACUCGCUUGCUGGAGGGUGGUUUCAGUCCUCUGCUCUUCCGCCUGGAUAGCUGCGGUCACACUUACUGCCAGGCAAGCCUACUGUGCCCUUUGUCGCCCUGUCCUCCCAUCUUCCCCGGAAGGUUGGGAACUGCAGGCUCAGCACACACAAUAAGGCUUCAUUUGCUUAGUUGAGGUCCCAGGACAAGUUGCCUGUGUGUUUAUUUAGUUUUCUUUUGAUCUCCCACCAUUUUCUCUUAGUUUCAAAAAGAGGCGGCGAUGCAGAGUCGUUUAGGCAAUCAACCCUCCCACGUCCCCUGGCUCAGCUAAUGCUGGUGGUCAUUCGUUGCCAUUUCUGCGAAAGGGGACGGACGGAACCGCCCGCAGUACCCGCUUGCCACCGGCUGGACGAGGGGGAGGGACGACAGCUUUUACUGUCCCAAAUCCUGAGAUUAAGACCUCAGGGCUAAAUCUUGCGUGGCGGUAAAAAUUAUUUGGAAGUUCUGUGCAACCGUUCCAAUAUUCCGCUUUUACGUGCACGGAAAUAGCCUAAGUCCAGAUGCCAGCCAGGGAAGCCACUCCGGGCCCCGCUGACUAAGCCCUGGACUGAUGGUCUGGAGUCUUUAGGCCGGGUCAACUAUGACUCUUGACGUUGACUCAUUCUCCUUAGGCGAGUGACUUAAUCGCUCGGCGUCUCAGCUUUUUUAUUUAUGAACCAAAGGUGAUGAUACACUUACCUCACAAGGGUGUGCUUCGUAAUGACUGUAACCGGCUUUGAAAAUGCAUCGGACUCUAGAAAUGAUUCAUAAUAAGCAACUGCGUGCCUUCCUAAAGAUCAAGUGCUUCUGCUUUUUUUUUUUAGCAAAGUUUAAAUUUUUUUCUGUUUACUUUGUUUGAUUAUGAUGUACACCAGUGUAGUUUUAAAUGUUCAGGACCAUUUUUUUUCCUUUACAACUGCAGCUGCCCUCAAUAGAGGCUUUAAUGUUCAUGAAAUUAUUGUUAUGCUCACAACAAUCACUGGCAAUCAGAAAUUUGUCCCCACACUGGCAUCCUACAUUUCCUUUCCCUCUAAGAUACUGUGCUGUCAUUUCUCAAGACCGUGUUUUUUGCACAGUUUGGCUACUAAUAACAACAAAUAGAGAUGAAGAAAUCUAGUAGACUCCUAAGGUUCUAAUGAAGAAGACACUGUCUCAUUACUAUUUCCCAUGCUUUUAAAUAAUGUUGACACCAGGAAAAGGAGUGUAUGCAGGCUGCCUGUGCCUGUCUGCUUAUAGUGUUAAUGAGGUCCAGAGCUGUGUCAUACCUAUUAUUGAGUACAUAAUGGAUGCUUGAGUUGACUAACACAUAAUUGAGGCUGUAUGAGAACUCAAAGCCAUUGCCUGUUCAUAUGUUUUGGUUUACCUGAAUAUCAGAAGUGAUUAAUGAAAGCUUUUGUCUAGUGGGCUUAGCUCUACUAGGUUUUAAAGUAGAUAGAAUUAACAGGCCAGGCGCAGUGGCCCACGCCUGUAAU